This 505-nucleotide ribosomal RNA is filed under the name uncultured bacterium. Its description in RNAcentral is "partial 16S ribosomal RNA". It matches the Rfam family "Bacterial small subunit ribosomal RNA", at positions 28 to 507 of the family's 1533-position model. The record is from RNAcentral.
GACGAACGCUGGCGGCGUGCCUAAUACAUGCAAGUAGAACGCACAGUUUAUACCGUAGCUUGCUACACCAUACACUGUGAGUUGCGAACGGGUGAGUAACGCGUAGGUAACCUGCCUGGUAGCGGGGGAUAACUAUUGGAAACGAUAGCUAAUACCGCAUAAUAUUGAUUAUUGCAUGAUAAUUGAUUGAAAGAUGCUAUUGCAUCACUACCAGAUGGACCUGCGUUGUAUUAGCUAGUAGGUGAGGUAACGGCUCACCUAGGCGACGAUACAUAGCCGACCUGAGAGGGUGAUCGGCCACACUGGGACUGAGACACGGCCCAGACGCCUACGGGAGGCAGCAGUAGGGAAUCUUCGGCAAUGGACGAAAGUCUGACCGAGCAACGCCGCGUGAGUGAAGAAGGUUUUCGGAUCGUAAAGCUCUGUUGUAAGAGAAGAACGGGUGUGAGAGUGGAAAGUUCACACUGUGACGGUAGCUUACCAGAAAGGGACGGCUAACUACGUG